RNAcentral lists this long non-coding RNA (22525 nucleotides) under Homo sapiens (human). RNAcentral describes it as "non-protein coding NEAT1:28". The stretch from base 1024 to 1182 matches the Rfam family "Nuclear enriched abundant transcript 1 conserved region 3". Lineage: Eukaryota; Metazoa; Chordata; Mammalia; Primates; Hominidae. The record is from RNAcentral.
GGAGUUAGCGACAGGGAGGGAUGCGCGCCUGGGUGUAGUUGUGGGGGAGGAAGUGGCUAGCUCAGGGCUUCAGGGGACAGACAGGGAGAGAUGACUGAGUUAGAUGAGACGAGGGGGCGGGCUGGGGGUGCGAGAAGGAAGCUUGGCAAGGAGACUAGGUCUAGGGGGACCACAGUGGGGCAGGCUGUCCCUACUGCCUGGUGGAGGGGGAACUUGACCUCUGGGAGGGCGCCGCUCUUGCAUAGCUGAGCGAGCCCGGGUGCGCUGGUCUGUGUGGAAGGAGGAAGGCAGGGAGAGGUAGAAGGGGUGGAGGAGUCAGGAGGAAUAGGCCGCAGCAGCCCUGGAAAUGAUCAGGAAGACCAAGGGCUGUGAACCCGCCUGGGGAUGAGGCCUGGUCUUGUGGAACUGAACUUAGCUCGACGGGGCUGACCGCUCUGGCCCAGGGUGGUAUGUAAUUUUCGCUCGGCCUGGGACGGGGCCCAGGCCGGGCCCAGCCUGGUGGAGCGUCCAGGUCUGGGUGCGAAGCCAGGCCCCUGGGCGGAGGUGAGGGGUGGUCUGAGGAGUGAUGUGGAGUUAAGGCGCCAUCCUCACCGGUGACUGGUGCGGCACCUAGCAUGUUUGACAGGCGGGGACUGCGAGGCACGCUGCUCGGGUGUUGGGGACAACAUUGACCAACGCUUUAUUUUCCAGGUGGCAGUGCUCCUUUUGGACUUUUCUCUAGGUUUGGCGCUAAACUCUUCUUGUGAGCUCACUCCACCCCUUCUUCCUCCCUUUAACUUAUCCAUUCACUUAAAACAUUACCUGGUCAUCUGGUAAGCCCGGGACAGUAAGCCGAGUGGCUGUUGGAGUCGGUAUUGUUGGUAAUGGUGGAGGAAGAGAGGCCUUCCCGCUGAGGCUGGGGUGGGGCGGAUCGGUGUUGCUUGCCUGCAGAGAGGGUGGGGAGUGAAUGUGCACCCUUGGGUGGGCCUGCAGCCAUCCAGCUGAAAGUUACAAAAAUGCUUCAUGGACCGUGGUUUGUUACUAUAGUGUUCCUCAUGGCGAGCAGAUGGAACCGGGAGACAUGGAGUCCCUGGCCAGUGUGAGUCCUAGCAUUGCAGGAGGGGAGACCCUGGAGGAGAGAGCCCGCCUCAAUUGAUGCCUGCAGAUUGAAUUUCCAGAGGCUUAGGAGGAGGAAGUUCUCCAAUGUUCUGUUUCCAGGCCUUGCUCAGGAAGCCCUGUAUUCAGGAGGCUACCAUUUAAAGUUUGCAGAUGAGCUUAUGGGGGGCAAUCUUAAAAAGUCCACAGCAGAUGCAUCCGGCUCGAGGGGCCAUCAGCUUUGAAUAAAUGCUUGUUCCAGAGCCCAUGAAUGCCAGCAGGCACCCCUCCUUUCCUGGGGUAAAGGUUUUCAGAUGCUGCAUCUUCUAAAUUGAGCCUCCGGUCAUACUAGUUUUGUGCUUGGAACCUUGCUUCAAGAAGAUCCCUAAGCUGUAGAACAUUUUAACGUUGAUGCCACAACGCAGAUUGAUGCCUUGUAGAUGGAGCUUGCAGAUGGAGCCCCGUGACCUCUCACCUACCCACCUGUUUGCCUGCCUUCUUGUGCGUUUCUCGGAGAAGUUCUUAGCCUGAUGAAAUAACUUGGGGCGUUGAAGAGCUGUUUAAUUUUAAAUGCCUUAGACUGGGGAUAUAUUAGAGGAAGCAGAUUGUCAAAUUAAGGGUGUCAUUGUGUUGUGCUAAACGCUGGGAGGGUACAAGUUGGUCAUUCCUAAAUCUGUGUGUGAGAAAUGGCAGGUCUAGUUUGGGCAUUGUGAUUGCAUUGCAGAUUACUAGGAGAAGGGAAUGGUGGGUACACCGGUAGUGCUCUUUUGUUCUUGCUUCGUUUUUUUAAACUUGAACUUUACUUCGUUAGAUUUCAUAAUACUUUCUUGGCAUUCUAGUAAGAGGACCCUGAGGUGGGAGUUGUGGGGGACGGGGAGAAGGGGACAGCUUGGCACCGGUCCCGUGGGCGUUGCAGUGUGGGGGAUGGGGGUAUGCAGCUUGGCACUGGUACUGGGAGGGAUGAGGGUGAAGAAGGGGAGAGGGUUGGUUAGAGAUACAGUGUGGGUGGUGGGGGUGGUAGGAAAUGCAGGUUGAAGGGAAUUCUCUGGGGCUUUGGGGAAUUUAGUGCGUGGGUGAGCCAAGAAAAUACUAAUUAAUAAUAGUAAGUUGUUAGUGUUGGUUAAGUUGUUGCUUGGAAGUGAGAAGUUGCUUAGAAACUUUCCAAAGUGCUUAGAACUUUAAGUGCAAACAGACAAACUAACAAACAAAAAUUGUUUUGCUUUGCUACAAGGUGGGGAAGACUGAAGAAGUGUUAACUGAAAACAGGUGACACAGAGUCACCAGUUUUCCGAGAACCAAAGGGAGGGGUGUGUGAUGCCAUCUCACAGGCAGGGGAAAUGUCUUUACCAGCUUCCUCCUGGUGGCCAAGACAGCCUGUUUCAGAGGGUUGUUUUGUUUGGGGUGUGGGUGUUAUCAAGUGAAUUAGUCACUUGAAAGAUGGGCGUCAGACUUGCAUACGCAGCAGAUCAGCAUCCUUCGCUGCCCCUUAGCAACUUAGGUGGUUGAUUUGAAACUGUGAAGGUGUGAUUUUUUCAGGAGCUGGAAGUCUUAGAAAAGCCUUGUAAAUGCCUAUAUUGUGGGCUUUUAACGUAUUUAAGGGACCACUUAAGACGAGAUUAGAUGGGCUCUUCUGGAUUUGUUCCUCAUUUGUCACAGGUGUCUUGUGAUUGAAAAUCAUGAGCGAAGUGAAAUUGCAUUGAAUUUCAAGGGAAUUUAGUAUGUAAAUCGUGCCUUAGAAACACAUCUGUUGUCUUUUCUGUGUUUGGUCGAUAUUAAUAAUGGCAAAAUUUUUGCCUAUCUAGUAUCUUCAAAUUGUAGUCUUUGUAACAACCAAAUAACCUUUUGUGGUCACUGUAAAAUUAAUAUUUGGUAGACAGAAUCCAUGUACCUUUGCUAAGGUUAGAAUGAAUAAUUUAUUGUAUUUUUAAUUUGAAUGUUUGUGCUUUUUAAAUGAGCCAAGACUAGAGGGGAAACUAUCACCUAAAAUCAGUUUGGAAAACAAGACCUAAAAAGGGAAGGGGAUGGGGAUUGUGGGGAGAGAGUGGGCGAGGUGCCUUUACUACAUGUGUGAUCUGAAAACCCUGCUUGGUUCUGAGCUGCGUCUAUUGAAUUGGUAAAGUAAUACCAAUGGCUUUUUAUCAUUUCCUUCUUCCCUUUAAGUUUCACUUGAAAUUUUAAAAAUCAUGGUUAUUUUUAUCGUUGGGAUCUUUCUGUCUUCUGGGUUCCAUUUUUUAAAUGUUUAAAAAUAUGUUGACAUGGUAGUUCAGUUCUUAACCAAUGACUUGGGGAUGAUGCAAACAAUUACUGUCGUUGGGAUUUAGAGUGUAUUAGUCACGCAUGUAUGGGGAAGUAGUCUCGGGUAUGCUGUUGUGAAAUUGAAACUGUAAAAGUAGAUGGUUGAAAGUACUGGUAUGUUGCUCUGUAUGGUAAGAACUAAUUCUGUUACGUCAUGUACAUAAUUACUAAUCACUUUUCUUCCCCUUUACAGCACAAAUAAAGUUUGAGUUCUAAACUCAUUAGAAUUGUUGUAUUGCUAUGUUACAUUUCUCGACCCCUAUCACAUUGCCUUCAUAACGACUUUGGAUGUAUCUUCAUAUUGUAGAUUUAGGUCUAGAUUUGCUAGCUCCAAGUAAUUAAGGCCAUGUAGGAGAGCAUGGUAACCACAGAUAGAACUGGUAUUAUCCCAAGUGGUCUGCAGACUGCUGAGUGGGGAUGGGAUCUGCUCUCUGUUGAGAGUUGGUAAUCAUUGGUUUGAAAUGUGAUGAAACCACUCAAGCCAAUGAAGGUGGGUGUGUAGGUGGGGAGUACUUUGCCAUAAUAUUUUAAAACAUUACCUGGUUAGAGUUCUAAGUGGUACUUAUUUUUGUUUGGUUAGGGGAAAGCCUGAAUAAAAACAGAAAUGGACACAUAAUAUGCAUAUUCCAUAGUCUUUGGGAGGCUGGAAUGUGCCUGGGAUUUGGGUCUAAGUGUAUGCGUAAUUCUUACCUCACUAAAGAAUUUGCCUUGUUUUUUUCCUUUUGGUGAGUGACUAAAACGUCUGGGCUUCCCUGUGUGCGUGCUACAGUAAGCAAGCAGAGGCUGUGCAAAGGUGUGAGCAGGAUCACGUGGAAUCUGGAGGAUACAUCUUGGCUUGCAAACUGCCUCUGUCUCCUGGGUGGGACUGUUCUGUCCUUGCACUGCUGUUCUGUGUUACCUCUUGGGGUGUAAGGUUUUGCUUACAGGAGACAAACUUUGGGCGUAGAAUGGAAGCCACUGCCAGCCUCUGUGCUGAGAAGGAAGGUGCUUGUUUCAAAGGGAGCAGCAAGGGAGGCUUGUUCUACUCACCUGGGCCUGUUUGCCUGAGAAGGGGAGAUAAGGGCUGAACUGGGACUAGCCAGGGGGACCAACACAAAUGGUGGGGGAUCAUGACCUGAAGGAUUCUUUCCUUCCCAUGAGCUGCAGGGCUGGUUGCCGUCCUUGCAACUGUGUCUUAUUUGCCUGUGCCGUUAUAUCUUGGUGACCCCUCCACGUGUACACUACUGACAAACGGGUGGAGUGCUGGGGAGAAGUCACUGUGCCGCCCACCUAGUAAACCUUCUGUCUGUGCUCAUGGCAUCUCCAAGAUGGGGCACUGCUGUGUGCAGAAUCCAGGGUCCUCUUUCUGCUUGCAACUCCUUUCCCUGGAUGCCCCAGAAACAAUCCAGGCCUCCUUUCCUAUCUUACCCCUUUGCUUUGCUUUUUACCCCAGCACCUCUAUAACCGCCUUCUCUUCUUUUCAGAACUCCUUGUUUCUCGUCCUGUUUUUUAUGAUUACAAAACUCUUGCUUCCACCCUGGAAGAUAACUGCUAUAGAUGCCUGUAUGUAAAUGGUGCUGUCUCCAGCAACUGGCAUGCUGAAGAAGAAUUGAUUCACGGGGUAUAAAUGUUGGGGAUUGGAAGUGGGGAUGAAAUGGCACUUGUUGAUACAGGAGCAGAGAGGUGAGGCCGACUGCUGAAGACAGCUCGCCACCCUCCUUGCCUCCACUCCAAUCCAGGGGCUGGGGCCACAUUCUUUGCCUUCAUUUAUCCUCAGAUCAGGUGAGAUCGACAGGAGGUGUUGAUGGCAGUGCCAGCAAUUAUUGCUAAUCCGUUUGCAUCCUUAUGCAUAGAUCUGAAUUCAGACUUUGUGAAUUUCCAGAGGUGUGGGUAAUAUAAUAGAAUUCAGUGAGUGGGCAUGGCUGAUCUUGUGCAAAUUAAAAGUUAUGGGGCAUAAGAAUAGCAAAAGUUGAACUUCUUUUAAAAAGGAAAGUACCCUGAGAGCCAGUAUUGGUUGAGGCUCUUCAGUAUGCCCAGGUUGGCAGCACUGAGAACCGCAGGAACGGCCUGUUGUUACAAAAAGGAGAUUGACUCAGCUGCCCUUGGUGCAUCUGACUGACUAUGACUGCUGAGAGAUUCCAAGGACCCUUAAUGCCAGGGCUAACCUCUCCAUGUGCAGUGAGACCUCUGGAGGAAGUGUCAUCCUCUGGCUUUGUGUGGUACUCAUUAUGGUGCAGUGCGGGCAUGAAAUGAAGACACCCAAAUAGGCUUACAGAUACGAUAUGUUUUAAAUGUUCGUAUUUAACAAAAACAUACUGACACUGUUUGGAAAUGGCAACAGGAAGAUAGCAAAAUGAAUACUAACAUUACGAAAAGAUGAACAGGUACAUGUUCCAAGGCAGGUGGCUGUGAACUUCCUCUGAGUGAAGGCAUCCCCUCCAGCACCUUUCAGCCUGCUAGUUAGGACGACCCGCCGCCACCCUCCAGGACCUCCAGCCCUGCACUGCCUUUCCUCUCUUUUAAAUAAUUCUUCAUUGAGUUCUAAUAUGUAAAAAAAAAAAGUUUACUGUAAAGUUUGCAAAUAAGGAAAUUUUUUUUAAAAGUCCUCAGUAAUCUUACCAGUAACAAUUGUUAUGGGCACAUUUGCUUUUGGAAGAUUUCUUUUGUAUGCAUGGGAUAAGUACAUUUUUAAACAAAAAUGGGAUUAUGCCAUAAAUUCUAUUUUGUGACUUUAAUAUAUAGUGAACACCUUUUUUAAUGAUGACAGGAUGUUCCCUUGCAUGGCUGUAUCAAUUUAAACAAUCUUGUUUCAAUGGGCAUACAGGGUAUUUUCUAGUUUUUUUUUCCUCUUAGAAAAUAAUACUUGCGAUGACUUUCCUUGUAGCUCAGACUUUUUCACGUCUGUUGUUAUCUCUUUGGGAAUGCUGAAUACAUACAUUUCGAGAAGGAAAUGACUGUUAAACUCUUAAGACUUCAGGUUCAUAUUGCUAAACUGCCCAGCAGGGAGGGAUUUUUUCAAUUAGUGUUCUCACUGGUGAGGCAAACCUGAUGCCUUCCCCUCUUCCUCAGAACCGGCUUUAUCACAUUGAAAACCUUUGCUCCUCCGACGGAUCGAGUCUGCUUUCCCUCUGGAUGUGAGCAUUGCUUUGUCUGCUGGUGACUGAACAUCUCUACCUUGUGUCAAUUGGCCAUUUGUGGUGUGUGUGUGUGUGCGUGUGUGUGUGUGUGUGUGUGUAUGAUUUUCUAAUUCCUAGUCAUUUUUCUAUUGAUUGUUUUGCAAAAGCCAUUUACAUCUUAAGGAUAUUGAUAAUCUUUUGUUAUAUUUGAUGCAAAUAUUUUUUUCCAGUUUAUAGGUUGCCUUUUAAUUUUGUGUUUCAGGUAGAUAAAAGUUAAACGAUUUUCUUAGGUUAGUUUAUCACUGUGGUUUCUGAACUUGUUAUGUGUAGAUCUUUUCCACCCCAAGAGUACAUAAAUAUUAAUCCAUACUUUCUUAUGGAACUUGUAUGGUUUCGUUUUUUACAUUUAAACCUUCUUCCCCGUGGUGUGUGUUGUGGAAUCUGUGUUUGUGUGAGGAGGGGCAUGGUGCUCUCAGAACCCACCUCCUGUGGCCAGAGAGCCCUGUCCUGUGAGGGUGGUUGUCACAGUGGCAGGGUUCAAUUCAGAAGACCUUGAGGGCAGGCUGAUGUUUCCUGAAUGGGCCCCUGGUUGUUGCUUGUCCCUGACUCUCCAUUUCCCCAUCUGAGUGGAUUUGGACCUAAUAGGGCACUGGAGCUGGUUCGAAUCCUGACUGGACUACUUGGCAACUUUAUGUCUGGGAGCAAGUUACUUAACCUCCCCAAGCCUGUGUCUGUGAAAUGCGGGUAAAUGAAUGUAGAUGUUUGGCAGCAGCUACUCCUUGUUGAGCUCUCACAGUGAACUCUCCUGCCUCUGCCCUCCUUCCCCGCCUCCCCUGGUGCCUAGCGUCAGGUCUAGCCACUUCCUCCUGGGCCCCUCUCCCUUUUCUGUGGCUGGCUGCCUGCCCGCCUGGCGCUGGACCUUUCAUGUAACGGGAAUCAGCAUGUAUAUUCUGGUCUGGUCUGUUUCUACACUUAAUUUUGUUUCCAGUAGUAUUUCCCUGUACCGGCAGAGUUCACAAACACAUUUGAAGAGGCUUUUUCUCAGGAUUCUUAACCUUCCCAAAGGAAGUCCCAUGGAUGGGUUUCUAGAAGUCUAUAAAUGCUCUGAAAUUGUAUUUUUCUGUGGAAAGCAUAACUUUCAUCUGCUUGUUCGUGCUCAAAAAAGAUCAUGAAUGAAUGAUUGCAUGAUUUUAUGCCAUUGUGCUUAUACUAAAGGAUAUGUAGCCCAUCUCUUGAGCUGUUAAACUGUUUUGACUACUUUAAAUCGUGCAGCUGUGAGCAUCUCUGUAAAUUUAGUGUACACAUGUAUCCCCUGGAGUGGCAUUGCCUCGGCAGUGAGCACUUAUGGUUUUAUAACUCUCUUCACAGACUCAAAUGACUCCAGAAAGCUACACUUCCUGUUGUGAGUAUAUGAUAUCCAUUUCCCUACAUAGCCACUAACAUCAGGUUUUUACAAUUUUAUUUAUUUCUUGCUACUUUAAGAAAUUUUUGUGGUGAAAUACAUAUAAUAGAAGUUGACUAUCUGAAUCAUUUUUAAGUAUACAUUCAGUAGUGUUAAGUAUGUCGCCAUUGUUGUACAACCAAUCUCCAGAACUUUUUCAUCUUGCAAAACAAACUCUGUACCCAUUAAAUAACAUUAAACAUUCCAUUCCCUCCAGCCUCAGCAACCCCAUUCUACUUUCUGUUUCUGUGAGUUUGACUAUUCCAAGCACUUCAUAUCAGUUAAAUCAUGAAGUAUUUGUCUGUCUGUGACUGGCUUAUUUCUCUGAGCACAGUGUCCUCGAGAUGCGUCUAUGUUGUAGCAUAUGUCAGAAUUUCCUUCCUUUUUAAAAGAUCCAAAUAAUAUUCUUAUUUUAUAUCUUUUUUUUAUCCAUUCAUCCAUUAGUGGACACUUGGGUUGCUUUUGGCUAUUGUAAAUAAUGGUGCUAUGUACAAAUAUCUAUAUUAUUGUAUUUACAAGUAUAAUGCUGUAAUGUACACACAUCUUUUUGAGAUCCUACCUUCAGUUCUUUUGAGUAUAUAGCCAGAAGUGGUAUUACUAAAUCUUACGAUAUUUCUAUUUUUAAUUUAUUGAGGAACCACUGUAGUUUUUCAUAGCAACUGCACCAUUUUACGUUCUCACCAAGAGUGCACAAGGGUUCCGAGGUUCCCACAUCCUCCCCAACACUUGUUAUUUUCUGCUUUUUUUAGAUUGCAGCCAUCAUAGUGGGUGUGAGGUGACAUUUCAUUGUGGUUUUGAUUUGCAUUUCCCUAAUGAGGAGUGAUGCUGAGCAUCUUUUCAUAUGCUUACUGGUCAUUUGUAUGUUGUCUUUGGAAAAAUGUCUAUUCAAGUCCUUUGACUAUUUUAAAAAUUGGGUUAUUAGAGUUAUCGUUGUUGUUGACUUGUAGGAGUUUCUUUCUAUAUUCUGGAUAUUAAUCCCCUAUCAGAUAUAUGAUUUGCAAAUAUCUUCUCUUAUUCCAUAAGGUUACUUUUUCACUUUGUUGAUUGUGUUCUUUGAUGUAUAGAAGUUUUUAGUUUUGAAAUAGUCUAAUUUAUCUGUUUUUACUUUUGUGGUCUGUGCUUUUGGUGUCAUAUCCAAGAAAUCCUUGCCAAAUCCAACGUUAUAAGGUACUUUUAAGGUAUUUUAGUUGUCUUAGUCUAUAUUUCUGUACUCACCUUUCUUUAUCCACUCAUCAGUUGAUGGGCAUGUAGGUUGGUUCCAUAUCUUUGCAAUUCUGAAUUGUGCUAUGAUCAGGUGUCUUUUUAGUAUAAUGAUUUACUCUCCUUUGGGUAGAUACCCAGUAGUGGGAUUGCUGGAUCGAAUGGUUUUUAUAAUUUUCUAUUUUACCACAGUUUCUCUCUGCAUUUUUCCUCUUUGACCACUAACCAUGUGAAAUUCUCAUAUUGACCUUUAUAAUGAUCAUGAACUCUUAGUAUCAUUGGGAAGGCCACAUUUGCCACUUAUGAUUGUAAACCUUAUCCUCCAUUUUUCCUGUUAUUGUUGGUGCAAAAAGCACCUAUUAUACCAGGACUUUAAAAAUCAGUCUGAUAAGUCUUUGAUAAGUCUAAUAAUAAUAACUGAUAAGUCCAUUGAAUUUGCUUCUGAUUACUUUUUCUUUAGUAGCUAAACAUGUAUGUACUCCUAUGAUUACAAUGAACACUCCUCUCCAUUUAAAUUAAUUAUUUACAUUGAUGAAAUAGCAAAAUGUUAAUGACUAAAUACUGUCUUGGUUUUUUCGUUCCAGGUCAGUCAAUAUUAACUUCUUAUAAUUUUCUUUUUUUUCUUUAUGUGUGUGUGUGUGUGUAUUUUUUUUUUUUUAAUUUCAAUGGCUUUUGGGGUACAAAUGGCUUUUGGUCAUAUAGAUGAAUUCUACAGUAGUGAAGUCUGAGAUUUUACUGCACCGGUCACCUGAGUAGUGUACAUUGUACCCAAUAUGUGGUUUUUUAUACCUUGCCCCCCUCUUACCCUCCCCACUUUGAGUCUCUAGUGUCCAUUAUGUCACUCUGUAUACCUUUUUGUACCCAUAAGUUAGCUCUCACUUAUAAGUGAGAACACACAGUAUUUGGUUUUCCAUUCCUGAGUUGCUUCACUUAGAAUAAUAUCCUCCAGCUCCAUCCAAAAUUGCUGCAAAAAAAAAAAAAACCACAAACAUUAUUUUGUUCUUUUUUAUUGCUAAGUCAUAUUCCAUGGUGUAGAGAUACCACAUUUUAUUUAUCCACUCACUGGUUGAUGGGUUGGUUCCACAUCUUUGCAAUUGUGACUUGUACUGCCAUCAAGUGUCUUUCUGGUAUAAUGACUUCUUUUCCUUUGGGUAGAUACCCAGGAGUGGGAUUGCUAGAUCAAAUGGUUCUUAACAUUUUCUCUCUGGAUCUAUUUCUGGAAAUUUUAGGCUCCAGUUUUUGUUGUUGUUGUUAAUAAAAUGCAAUGGAAUGUAAUGAUCAUCACUUUUCAUUAUGCUUUAAAAUCUGGUAAAUGGAGGCUAGAACACUCCUGUAAGGCAAGAAUAUUCUCUCUGUUGGAACUCAAAUACACAGAACUGGGUAAAUCUCAAUCUUAAUCUUUGAUUCAGGACACAACAUGGCUCUCUUUUACUUGCUUUCUUUAAUUGUUUUUUAAUAAUGUGGUAAGCAUUUCUGAAUCUCCUAUCCAAUACAAAAACUAGGACAAUACAGACAGUAACUCCUAUGGUUACAAUGAACACUCCUCUCCACUUAAAUUAAUUAUUUACACUGAUGAAAUUGAAAUAGCAAAAUUUUAAUGACUAAAUACUGUCUUUGAUUUUUUGUUCCAGGUCUGUCAAUAUUAACUUCUUAUAAUUUUCUUUUUUUUUCUUUAUGUGUGUGUGUGUGUGUGUAUAUAUAUAUAUUUAAUUUCAAUGGCUUUUGGGGUACAAAUGGCUUUUGGUCAUAUAUAUGAGUUCUACAGUAGUGAAGUCUGAGAUUUUACUACACCUUCCACUUAUGUGGUCCCACACCACCCGCCUCCCCUGCCGCCUCCUGCCACCCCCUAGGCCAAGGUAAUAAUCAUCCUGAAUCCUGGGUUUAUCUCUCACUUGCUUUCUUUUCAUAUAAUUUUGCAAAAGAAUCUGAUCUAAAUGUGUUUUUCAGAGUAUAUAUUUAUAUUUUAGCUGUUCUUAGAGAAAAUUUAUUAUUUUGCAUGUAAUCUUAUGGAACAUUCUCAUUUAAUACCAUGGUAAGAUUCAGCCCUUGCCCAGGGGAUAGUUCAUUUAGUUUGUUUACUGGAUAGAGCUCAUCAUGUGACUAUACCUCAGUUAGUUUAUCAGUUCUCCCAUCCAUGGUGACUAGGUUGCCUCUCAGCCUCUCAACAACACUGUUUCUCAGUGUCCUUGUAGAAGUGAUAUGUGGGUGUUUUCUCCUUACACAGAGUUGAAAGGUGACGACAACAACGUUGGCACUACCAAUCCCCCACCCUCCAGAGGGGUAACCAGUGUUACCAGUUUGCUGUGUUUCCUGCUACACCUCGCCUUAUUCACUUCCAUUUGUAUCUGAAAAACGUGUUGCAUGGUUUCUUUUCUAUAGAAGUGGUAAAAUGCUAUUGUGUCCUGUACAUUAUUGAUUACUUUUUUUCAUUUAACAGUAGGGAGAUGCCUGGGAGUACACAGAGAACUGCCCUCAUUGUUUUCAACUUCUGCACUGUAUGUCUGUGAGUUUAGCCAUUCUGCUGUUAAUGGAAAUUUACAGUAUUCUAAUCUUUUGAUAUUACAAACAGUUCUGUGCGAUCAUCGUCAUACACAACCCCUUGUGCACAAUGCAUGAGUGUUUCUCAGGGUAGGUACCAAGAAGUGAAAUUCCUGGGUCAUAGGGCGUGAGUCCGACAUUUUUCUCCAUUCUGCCCUGUUGCCCUCCAGAGUGGGUGUCCAGCUUUGCAUACCUAAGUAUGAGAGUAUCUGUUGUUCAUAUCCUCUACGACGCUCCAUAUAUGAAACUUAAGUUUCUGCUAGUUGCCAUCUUUGAUCUAUCAUGUAUGCAGUGACCUACUAAGACUGUAAUUGGUACAGUAGAUUCUUGUCAUCUGUGUGUGAAUUUAGCAUUCAUGGGCUUAAUGCUGACAAGGCCCCCAGGGUCCAAGACAUAUAAUCAUGUAUAAUUUUGUCAAGGUAUAAUUUUUUAAAUUGCUUUUGUCAUGUGUCUGCUGGUGAUGCCCAACCCAGUGCUCUGCACCCAGGUCACACUGUGGCUUUGUCCUCUGCUUAUGCCUGCAUUGCAGCAACUGUCCUGAAGAGACCAAAAUUAUGCAGAUUUAGGUAAGUCCAUGGCUAAUGUUAUUAUAUUAUGUGCUAUUGUAAUGGAUGGGGCUGUGGAGUGUAUGAAUUUAUAAAUCACUGGUCUUGUAAUUAAAAUUCAAACACUAUAGAAAAAGGCCAUGUAGAAGAUAAAAGUUCCUCUAUAAUCCCGGACCCCUAAGAUAACUACUAAUGACAACUUCAUUUAUAUUCCUUCAGACAUUUUCUGGCUGUGGAUGUACUAAAAUGUAUCCUAUUAUUCUCUGCCCUAAAAUGGAAUCAUACAAGGUGUACUGUUAUUUUUAUGGCUCUAUAACAUGUCAUAUUGUACGUGUUGGUAUGGUCAUUUUAACCAUUUUUCUAGUGAUGGCUUUGAGGUUAUUUGCAGUUUCCUAGCCAUCUCAAAGUGUGCUGCGGGGAUCUCUUUUGCAUCCCUCUGGGUGCAGAGCUGAGGCACCCAGAGGCAGUGUCCAGAGGAGGCAGCAUCUGUAGGUGUCUUCACCUGCUCUGGCUCUUGGCACAUCUGGUUGGUGACACUGUUUUGUGAGAUGGGUUGAAAGCACGUGCUGCCAAAAUAGAAUAAUGUUGGUCCUCUCCUCAUGUGCCGUGGAACUGGGGUAAAACUGCGUAGUGGCUGCAGCUGCCUGUCCAUACCGGAAUCGAGUAUAACACGGUGCCUGGCUUAGCACAAAACAGUAGUGGGUCCUGCAGGCCCCAGAGUCUAAUUCCUGGUAUUCUUUCCCCUACACAGAUUAAAUAAACCAAAAACAAACUAUUCUAGGAAAGCGUCUGUGACAUUUGUAAAAAGUGGUAUUUAAUGAUCUUUUAUUCACUUGUCUGUUUAGUUUGUUGAAAUCUUAAGUGGCAUCCUGGUCUGGGAAGGAGUGCUGUCUGCGCCUGCCCUCCGCUGGGCACAGCGUGGCUGCUUCAGGGGCUAAGCACACACUUUCUGUCUUCUAAAGGGCCGCCACAUGCCAGGAGCUCAGGUGUGAGCCCGGCUCUGGCUCUUACCUCAUAGGGUCACUCAUAGGGGCACAGGGAGCAGAACAUUGUACACAGCGAGGCACCACCCGGCUUGGCAUCUGCCUCGGUGGACUUACUACCUCUAGAAGGAAAUACCUGAGUUCCUCUGGCCUCAGCUCCUAGAGUGACUGGUGUGCUGUCCCUGUUACUCUUCUGUCAAGGUGACAACUGUGUGACCCAUCAUCUGUGUGUCAAAGCAAGGCCCUGCCUGGGCCUCUGCUCCUGUGCUGACCCCAAAGGCAAAUGCUUUGCUAGUUUCCUUCCAGUUAAUUUCACCUAUGAAUAGAUGUGUGAAAACUGUUCAAAGCCAUACCUGCACAUGUUUGAACUUCAAACCCUGUGGGUGAUUCAGUGGCAUCUUUCUCUAACCCCCAGCCUCCCUUCCCACAGAGGCCACCGUCAUGGCCAGUUGCUGCAGUUUCUUUCCAGAGAACCUGUGUAUGUGUAAAGCUGUACAGGCGUGGGUACACCACACAGCCUGUCUUGCACUGUGGACUGUUGAGUUACUAGUACAUCUAGGUAAGCACCGCAUAUCUGUAUUCAUGUCUGCCUUGGUCUUUUCAACAUCUGUGUGGUAGCCGUGUUUGAAUUACCCAUUCCCUUUUUGGGGAACCAUUAAGUUGUUUCAGCAAUUUUUACUGUAGAUAAGGCUAUACCGCAUAUCUGUGUACAUGGGUUUUUAUGUACAUGGGCAAGUAUAUCUGUGAGAGAAAAGUUUCCUCAGGAGGAAUUCUGGGCACAGCAUGUGUAAAUUUCUAAAUAUGAUGGACACCCCCAGCUUCCACCUCAAGGAGGUUGGUCCCAUUGACAUUUCCCCACACCUUCACCCAGGCUGUGCCCUUAAACUUGGUUAUUUGUCAAUGUGAGAAGUGGAAAAUAGUAUUUAAUUGUAGUUUGGAUUUGUAUUUCUAUUGGGUUGUAUACUUACUGAUUAAUAAUAAGAGCUCUUUACAUAUUAAGGAAAUUAACCCUUUUCAAAUACAUUCCUAUUUCUCACUAAUCUUUAAGUUUUAUUGUAAUAUUUUGCUCUUUAGUUUAUAUAUAUAUAUACUAAUUUUCUUUUAUGGUUCCUGGAUUUUGUGAGUAGUUUGAAAAGGCUAAUCCAGCUGAAGAUUUUGUUGUUGUUGUUAAACCCCAUGUUUUCUCCUAACUCUUUUUAUUUUUAUUUUGGAGGACUCUAUCUAGACUUAAUUUUAGCAUAACAAGUGACAGGGUUAGUUAGCCUGUUGUCCUUACACCAUUUUCUGGCUAAUACAGCUAUUAACUAUUGAUCUGUCUAUUCACGUGCCAGUUCCUAAUGGUUUUACAUAGUGUAAUCUGCACUUCAAAAUAGCGAAGGGAAGCCCUACCUCAUUAUUCUACUUUUCCAGAAUUCUCCUGGCUAUUCCAGGCUGCAUGUUUACCUUAACCUUCCCUGUGAUGUCUUCAUGCCGUUGUCUUCUUAUGCAAGAAUAAGGUACGUCUUUCCAUCCACUCACGUCUAUUUAAUUUGACUUUGCAUUACACAGAAAGCUGGUCUUGGUCUGUCUACCUCGGCAUCUAGUUGUCCUCACUGCCCCCUAGCCGACCCCACCCCAUCUGACUGACUACCCCAUCACAGAGUACUUUUAUUUACGUUUUGCUCUGCCUAAUGGUUACUUGAUACUGUCACGCCGACAGUGUCCAGUUCAGUGGUCUUUGCAGUUGAAAUGCUCCCGUACACACUGUCUUGUUAAAAAUGCCAGUAAGUUCAUACAAACCCAGCUUGCACCCAAGGUCACAUUCAGAGAGCGUAGGGCUGGGAUGGGUUGUUUUCCAAGCUUCUGCCACUGUGUGGCUAGCUCUUCCCACUGGGAAGUUCUGUGUACCCGGAAUGUCGGAGUGGAGUCCUGUUCUAGUGUCCAGCACCUGACCCUGUGCCCAACCCCUCAACAGCCUAUUCCUGCUGUCCACAGCCUGCUGGAACUUUUUACAAAAUAUGUUGCCAUGCUGGACCCUGGGCACUGGACAUAAGCCCCCUGGCAGCCUUUUUCAUGUCACCCAAAGGGGUAAUUGUCCUACUGGUGGUCUGUAAGAUGAGUUAGGGUGACUUGCUAAUAGACAUUGUAAAUCUUAAUAUUUAUGUAUGUAUUUUAUUAUUACCGGUUUUCCAUUUAUGAUGGUAAUAUUGUUUCUUCUAAGAAUAUUUAUUUUUCCUUCUAAAUAUUGAGAUAAAAUUCAUGCUUUUGAAAUGUUCUAUUCAGUGGCUUUUAGUAUAUUUGCUAUGUUGUGCAACCAUCGACACUAUCCAUUUCUAGAACUUUUUCGUCAUCCCAAACAGACGCUCUGUAUUCAUAAAAAAAUAACUUCCUACCUGUCUCUCCCCCUAGUCUUUGGUAACCUUUGUUAUACUGGUAAACUUUGUUGUGCUCUCUGUCUGUGUGAAUUUGCCUAUUCUAGGGGCCUCAUAUAAGUGUAAUCAUACAGUAUUUGUCUUUUUGGGUCUGUCUGAUUUCACUUAGCGGGUUUUCAGGGUUCAUUCAUGUUGCAGCAUAUAACAGUACUGCGUUCCUUUUUCUGGCUGAAUAAUAUUCCACUGUAUGGAUAGACCCCAUUUUGUUUAUUCACACAUCAUUUGGACAUUUGGAUUAUUUCUGGUUUUUGGCUAUUAUGAACAAUGGUGCUAUGAACAGUUGCGUACAAGUUUUUGUGUGAACAUAUGUUUUCAAUUCUCUCAUUAUAUACCUAGGAGUAGAAUUACUGGGUCAUAUGGUAACUGUAUAUUUUUGAGGAACUGCCAAACUAUUUUCCCACGUCCAUGCACCAUUUCACAUUCCCACCAGUAAGUAAGAGGGUUCCAAUUUCUGCGCAUUCUUGCCAACACUAGUUAUUAUCUGACUUUCUGGUUAUAAUCAUUCUAAUGAGUGUGAAGUAGCCUCUGGUGUCAUUUGGAUUUGCAUUUCUCUGAUGAGUGAUGCUAUCAAGCACCUUUGCUGGUGCUGUUGGCCAUAUGUGUAUGUUCCCUGGAGAAGUGUCUGUGCUGAGCCUUGGCCCACUUUUUAAUUAGGCGUUUGUCUUUUUAUUACUGAGUUGUAAGAGUUCUUUAUAUAUUCUGGAUUCUAGACCCUUAUCAGAUACAUGGUUUGCAAAUAUUUUCUCCCAUUCUGUGGGUUGUGUUUUCACUUUAUCGAUAAUGUCCUUAGACAUAUAAUAAAUUUGUAUUUUAAAAGUGACUUGAUUUGGCUGUGCAAGGUGGCUCACGCUUGUAAUCCCAGCACUUUGGGAGACUGAGGUGGGUGGAUCAUAUGAGGAGGCUAGGAGUUCGAGGUCAGCCUGGCCAGCAUAGCGAAAACUUGUCUCUACUAAAAAUACAAAAAUUAGUCAGGCAUGGUGGUGCACGUCUGUAAUACCAGCUUCUCAGGAGGCUGAGGCACGAGGAUCACUUGAACCCAGGAGGAGGAGGUUGCAGUGAGCUGAGAUCAUGCCAGGGCAACAGAAUGAGACUUUGUUUAAAAAAAAAAAAAAGUGACUUGAUUUAAGGGAAAAAAUGACUGGCUAUAUUCAGUCAGAUAUGGCAAAAAGUCUCAAGGUGUUAAUGUGAAUGAUUAAGGUCUUGGGGGGGGUGUCCCCUAUCAGACUACAGGUGUUUAGAGGCACAGAAAAAGGUGCAGUUGGGUUCUUAAUGUGAAAUGAUGAGAAGCACAACUCCAGUGUGUCUCUUUGUGUAGAAUGUCAGCAGACACCCCCUGCUAGAUGUGCUGGAUCAUGGGAAAGCAUUUCCAUUUGUUACUAGAUUGUUCAGAAGUUUUAAUUUAUGAUGGGUGUGGUGGCUCAUGCCUGUAGUCCCAGCACUGUGGGAGGCUGAGGCAGGAGGAUCAUCUGAGGCCAAGAGUUCAAGAUCAGCCUGGGCAACAUAGUGAUACCCUAUCUCUUAAAAAAGAAGAAGUUUUUAAAUUUGAAAUAAUAAUAGGUACUGGAUUUAUGCAAAUGUCUUUUCUGCGUCUUUUGAGAUGAGUAUCAGGUUUUUUUUUUUCCUUUUAUCAUCUGAUGAUGAACUUAAUGUUUCCAUUUGUAUUAAUGGAAUACUAAGUCCCUCUGUGAUUUCUGAACCAAGCUAUUCCUAGGCCUGAGUUUUAUUUUGUUGACACAGAAAUAAAUUAGAAGGCCAAGCGUGGUGGCAUGUGCCUGUAGUCCUAGUUGCUGAGGUAAGAGGAUUGCUUGAGCCCAGGAGUUCAAGGCUGCAGCAAGCUUUGAUUGCGCCACUGCACUCCAGCCUUGGCGACAGACUAAGACGCUGUCUCAAAAAAAAACAAAAACGACAAAAAAAAAACAAAACAGAAAAAAUAAACUAAGGCAAUGACAGUCCCUGGCAAAUGCUGGGAGGGAGGCAGCAGUGGUCAGGGAAGGUAACCCUGAAGCAGGACUUGUAAAGCAAAUAAGAUUGGGAGGCCAAGGUGGGUGGAUCACGAGGUCAGGAGUUCGAGACCAGCCUGGCCAACAUAGUGAAACCCCGUCUUUACUAAAAAUACAAAAAAAUUAGCCAGGUGUGGUGGUGGGUGCCUGUAGUCCCAGCUACUUGGGAGGCUGAGGCAGGAGAAUCUCGAACCCAGGAGGCGGAGGUUACAGUCAGCUGAGACCGCACCAUUGCACUCCAGCCUGGGUGACAGAGCAAGAUUCCGUCUCAAAAAAAAAAAAAAAAAAAAAACCAAGAAGAAAAGGAAUGAAUUAGAACUUCUUCUGCUUGGACUUAAGGGCAUCAUCAGGCAGGUUUUGGGUAGGAUAGCAGGGGAGGCAGAGACAUAGUCGGGGUCAGUGGUCAUGAGUGUGGCUUUGAGCCCAAAAACUUGGUUUCUGUUCCCUACUUUGCCACUCAGUAGUGCAUGACUUUGGCCAAAUUUCUUAAAUUCAUGAAGCAAGUUUCCGGGUGAAUGAAAUGGGGAUAAAAAUAGUGUUCAAACCUAUCCGUUGGUUUGUGUGAAACUGAAAUGAAUAGUAUCGUGCAGGUACUUGUGAGCAAGGGGAGCUGCUGUUUCCUGUCCCUUUAUGAUGGGAAAUAUCUAGACAAGUUCCCAACCCUCUGCACUGCAGGCUGCAUGGCACGGAGGGUCUUGUAACACCAGCUGGGGCUGGCCUUCUUUUAGGAGCUUCAGUGGUUCUGAAAACUUUUAUUUGUUUGUUUGUUUUAGUAGAUGUGGGGUCUUUCUGUGUUGCCCGGACUGGUCUCAAACUUCUGGACUCAAGUGAUCCUCCCCCGCUCAACCUCCCAAAGUGUUGGGAUUACAGGUGUGAGCCACUGUGCCCAGCCUUGAAAACUUUUUCAGGUUCUUCCAGGGUUACUGGGCUAUUAAAUAUUUCUAUUUCAUUAUAAGUCAGUUUUUCAAAGUUAUAUUAUCUUAAUUACCUUUUUUAUAUGUAUUAGUGUAGAGUAGCAUUUUAUAUUUUGAUAUCCUCCUUAUGCAUAGUUUUUCACUUUUUAUUCCUAGUUUUUCGUUUUUAAUAAGACUUUCAAGAAAUUUAUUUUAUUGGCCUUUUGAAAAAAGCAGCUUUAGAUAAAGUAAGCAGUUCUGCUUUCAUUUUAUAAUUUAUUUCUACUUUUGUUUCAUUAAUCUUUUCCUCCGGCAUGCCUUGGAUUUUGUUGUGUUACUCUUUUUCUAGAGGCUCGCAUUGUGUGUCUGGUUCACUUAUGAUCACGCUUGCCUACUUUUAAGAAUGGAAGAGGGGAGGUGGAGGGUGGCUGCACAGUCGAGGGUGUGAGGCAGUCUUGCUCUAGCCCCACCAUGCCCUCAGCCCGCUGUGGCCACGCUGGUUCCUCAAUUGCUGGGGCGUGCAGUGUCUGUAAGGGAGGCUACUGAUGCCAUCCGAGGAAGAUGUAAGGUUUCGUGUGGGCAGCGAGAGCCUAGCAGGCAUGUGGGGUGCCCAGCAAAGGGUAACAGUGGACAGUUGUUGCCUCAUUCCACAGAGUUUUGAUUUUUUUUUUUUUUUUAAUGGUCACUCCAUCAACAUCCCCCAUGGCCAGAGCCUGAGCUGGUCCCCAGAGACACAGGCAUUCAGCUGACAGCCUCGCCUUCACGCUGCUGCUGUUCUCAUGGGGGACAGGCCUCAGGUGGCAAUGCACAAAUCAUUAGUUAAGGGCAGUUGUGACAGUUACCAAGGAGUGUAGUCCCCCGCCCCCCGCCCAGUGAAAACAGCCCUAACCAGGGGUGGGGACCUUUGGGCUCUGACCCGAAGGGUAGGAGAAGCUGGAAGGACAGCAUUCCUGUCUGCGAAGGCAGGAGCAAAGCUGCCAGGCUAUGAAGGAAAUGGCUGGAGCCUGAAGUCAUGCAAGCUGGGGCUGGCAGGGACAGGGCCAACUUCCAGGCCUGGGGGCCACCAUGAGGAUUCAGGACGUGACCCCCAGGGCACAUGAAGGCCUUCCAUCUGUAUUUAAGAAAAGACUUUAUCAGACGAGUAUGGUGGCUCACGCCUGAAUCUUAGCACUUUGGGAGGCUGAGGCAGGUGGAUCACGAGGUCAGGAGUUCAAUACCAGCCUGGCCAAUAUGGUAAAACCCCAUCUCUACUAAAACUACAAAAAUUAGCCAGGCAUGGUGGCGCACGCCUGUAGUCCCAGCUACUCGGGAGGCUGAGGCAGAAGAAUCACUUGAACCCGGGAGGUGGAGGUUACAGUGAGCCAAGAUCGCGCCACUACACUCCAGCCUGGGUGACAGAGUGAGACUCCGUCUCAAAAAAACCAAAAGACUUUAUCUUAUUUCCUAUAUGUUUGUGGUUUCAGUCCUGAUGUAUAAUUUGACCCUAGUUAGAAUGGUUAUCUGAGGAAGUGGCCUGUACGAUUUCUGCUUUUUUAAAUGUGUGGCUCCCUUUCUUCAUUGAUUAACGUAUGAUUAUUUUUAUAAAUGUUCCAUGGCAGUGGGAAGGGAUUCUCUGUCACAUUCCACAUCUGGAUCAGUUCCUCCCCAUUUUGUUGGUCAAAUCCGAUCUGCCAUAUCCUGUGUAAUGACAAGUGAGUUGCAUUCUCACCGUCACUCCUGGGGUCUCUCCGCUUCCCCUGAGCUGGCUCAGCAGUCUGCUCCAUGUGUUUUGAUGCAGGGUGACCCAUUGGUAUUCCCGACACUAACGCCCCCGUCUGUGGACUGCUUGCUGCUUGGGCUUCACUGUGUCUGGUGUUGACAGUGCAGACCUAAAGGUGUGCACACAUGUGCACACACACUCCGCUGUCUUCUUGUUUGCACUGGACUUAAAUAUCUAUGAGGGUUAUUUUCAACUGCUGAAUUUGGAAUGAUUUUUAUAUCUUUUCUGCUUUCUGCCCAUGUACAUGUGUUUAUUUUACACUGUUGUGAUUGGUAGUUACUAUGUGGGGACACAAUUACUUGGGCUGAAAUAAUCCACCUGUUGUGGUUGGGGUCCUCUGGGGCAUUCCAGGGUGAGAGGUUGUCACUGCCACCUGGGCCAUGUGGGCCGGCACCAGCAUUUUGUGGUUACGAAUUCUACAGUCACAAAUAUCUUUGGGCAAAUCCCCUUCUAUACCUCAAGGCAGCUUUUGGUUUGCAACCCCACUGGCCAGAGGGAAGGGCCAGUCACUUGGCUCUCUCACUGCCCUGCGCCCCAGAUGGUUCUAGGGCUGCUGUUUUCCCUUGGCCCUGCCAACACCACUGUUUUUACUUCUGCUCAUUGGCUGAGUGCAGUGGUUCCUGGAAGCCAGUGGCACGUUUCCCCGCGUAGCUCGCUUAUCCCACAGCACACACCCAAGGGUUCUGUUGCUAACACGCUGAAUUAAUUCUUUGCUCAUCUUACAGAGUGUGUUUUGACUGCCCCCAUUUCUGAGGCCUUGUAAGGCCAGAGCUUUGUUGCUUCAUCGGCAGGUUGGGACUUAGAUGGCCGUGAAUGUUUCCUCUCUGCUGCUGCAGUAAGUAAGUGCCCGCACCAUAGUGUGUUUGGAGGCUGAAGUUGAAGCGAGGCUGUGAGGGGAGAUGGACGUGUGAGGAGGGAUGAUGGGGCUUGAGCAAAGUGGGGGAGGGGGCAAAGGCAGUUGGCCCAACACAUUCCCCACCCCUUUGAGAGGUCUGAGGCCUGCAGACCUGGCUCGGAGCCCACCUGGUAGUCCUCAGACUGUGUGUGUGUGUGUGUGUGUGUGUGUGUGUGUGUGUGUGUGUGUGUGUGUGUGUGUGUAAAAGAGAGAAGUUGUGGAGAAAUGGGGGGCUGAUUCUGCUCAGAUUCAUCAGGAUGAGUAGAAGGCACCCAGCUCUCACCCUGGCCUGACAUGUGUGUCCCUGAGCAGGUUACAGUCCUCUCUGAGCCUCUGCUUCCCAUCUGGACCCUGCUGGGCAGGGCUUCUGAGCUCCUUAGCACUAGCAGGAGGGGCUCCAGGGGCCCUCCCUCCAUGGCAGCCAGGACAGGACUCUCAAAUGAGGACAGCAGAGCUCGUGGGGGGCUCCCACGGACCCGCCGUGGGCCCAGGGGAGGCAGAGCCUGAGCCAACAGCAGUGGUGCUGUGGACCGUGGAUCCUGAGGGUGGCCUGGGGCAAGUACCGGCUGAGGGUCCAGGUGGGCUUUGUGUACCUUUGGGUCCUGGGGCCCUGGUGACUUGGACUCCAGGUUAGAGUCAAGUGACAGGAGAAAGGCUGGUGGGGCCCUGUGCUUCCGACUUCAUUUCGAGUGAUGGCAGUUCCCAGGAAGGAAUCCACAGCUGACGGUGGCUGACAGAUCAGAGAAUGGAAGGCGAGGCAGGCGGGCGUCUGCGUGACCUCAGGUGCUUGGGGCCCAGCAGACCCAGAGAACCAUUUCCACUAGGCCAGGGUGCCGGAAGUGUCCACAGGUCUUAGAUUCCCUGUUCAGAUGAAAAGAUUUGUGCCUUUAAUGAUAAAAGUGAUCUGCAUAGAGUCAAAAAUUCAAGCCAUGGGUAUAAAAUGCAAGUAAAAUCCCUGCCCUCACCUAUCCCACCCUACUACACAGAGAUGUCCUCUCGAGUUUCCUAGACUCACUCUGGAAAUUUCUGUAUACACACAGAAGCUUGUGCCUCUGCUCGUGAAGGCAGAGGGAGGGAGAGCUGAAGGGCCAGCACCUUCUCACCUGUGGGCCCCCUCAGUGCUCGGUCCCAGAGCAUGCAGGACUGUGCCUCGUGUUCAGUUUGCUGGUCUGACUUCAUGCUCCUUGGGCAGGAUAUGCAUGUGCCAUGCUAGGAGACAUGUGGAUGUGAAGCUGGGGGACAAUGUCCCCUGGCUAUGCCUUUACAAGGGAAGUAAGGAAGGUAGGAGGUGAGCCUGGGAGGGAGGGAGGGAGGCGCGGAGCCGCCGCAGGUGUUUCUUUUACUGAGUGCAGCCCAUGGCCGCACUCAGGUUUUGCUUUUCACCUUCCCAUCUGUG